Long non-coding RNA from Mus musculus (house mouse), 5974 nucleotides. RefSeq annotates it as predicted gene, 39526. The transcript has 4 exons. The record is from RefSeq and is marked validated. NCBI's taxonomy places the organism in Eukaryota, Metazoa, Chordata, Mammalia, Rodentia, Muridae.
UUGUGCGAUCUCAUUUGGCAAGGUAUGUACUACAUUGGUCCUGUUCAGAAAGUAUAUUCCUGUGUCAAUUAGUUGCCUAUUUUCUCCCCUUUCAGAUUCAGGGCAUCAGAUCUUAUGACGAGAUCCUUGAUUUAUUUGAAUGUGAGUUUAGAAGGGUGUGAGAUAAGGAUCUAGUUUCAUUCUUCAUGUAGCUUAUCCAGUUUGACCAGUACUAUUUGUUGAAGAUGCUGUAUUUUCUCCAACAUGUACUAUUGUCCUCUUUCUCAAAAUUCAGGAGUUUAUCAGAGCAAAUGUUUAUGCUUGAGUCCUCAAUUCUAUUUGAUUUAGCAGUGUGUCUGUAUGUCAGUACAUUUUGGGUUUUACUAUAGCUCUAUAGCAUAGUUGAAAUCACGGAGGAUGCUGAUGGUCCCAGUGGAGGUUUUAUUGUUUCAAUUAUCCUGGGUCCUUUAUAUUUCCAUAUGAAUUGAGGUUACUGUUCCAUUUCUGUGAAGAAUUGUUUUAGACUUUUGAUGGGAAUCGCACCAAAUCUGUAGAUUGCUUUUAGUAGGAUAUCCAUUUUACAAAAUUAAGUUUACAGAUCCAUGAGCAUGAGAGGUCAUCGAUCUUCUGAUGUCUUCUUCAGUUUCUUAAAUGUUUUAGUAUAUAACUAUUUCACUUACUUAGAGUUAUUUCAAGGUAUUUUAUUUUAUUUUAAUAUAUUUUAAGGGUAUUGUAAAAGGGAUUAAUUUUCUGAUUCCUGUUUUGGUAUAUUUGUCAUUUUUAUAUAGGAAGGCUACUAUUUUCUGUGUGUUGAUUUUGUAUCUUAGGACUUUGACGAAAGUGUUUAUCAGCUGUAGAAGUUUCCUGGUCUUUUGCUUAUAGAAUCAUCUGCAAACAGGAUUUCUUUGACAUUUUUCUUUCCUAUUUGUAUCCUCUUUAUCUCUUGUCACUUAUUGCUGUAGCUAAGAUUGACUUCAAGCACUAUUUUGAAUAGGUGUGGAGUGAGUGGAGACGCUUCUUUCCUCCUCUUCCCCUCCCUCUCCCUCUUUCUGUCUCUCUUAUUGAUUCUUUCACAUCAAACACCCCAGUCUCUAUCAUCUCCCCAUACCCUCAUACCCUCAUACCCUCAUAUCCACUCUUCAUCCUUGCAACCUCUCCCCCAAAAUAAAACACAUGUACACACACACACAACCACCACCACCAGCAAUAACCAAGCAUAGGAAAUAUCUCAUCCUGGAAGCUGUAGUAUGUCACAGUGUGUCCCACAAUGUAUCUCUGUCCACACAUCUCCAUUUGCAAAUGUUCACAGCAAUGAGUCAUUGGUCUCGUUCAAUAUCUUUAGCUUCUGUGACACCAUCAAUAUUGGAUCCUCAUUCGGACUCCUCCUGGCUAUCUUGUUGUUGCCCUGUGUUAUGUACAACCUUCAGCUUUGAAUUAGCAGAACUAACCCUUUCAUUCAUCCCAACCAUUUGUAGAUACGUUUGUUAGGGUAUAUGCACCUAGAAAUUCAACUAUUUCUUUUAUAUCUUCCAGUUUAGUGGAAUACAAAAUUUUAAAGUAUGUGCUUAUGAUUCUAUGAAUUUUUUCAGUGUCUAUUGUAAAGUCUUGCUUUUUGGUUCUAAUUUUAUUGAUUUGUAUUGAAUUUCUUUUUCUUUUUUCAAAGAACUCUUUGUUUCUUGAUUCUGUUGUUUUUUCAUAUCUAUUUGAUUGUUUUCAUUUGUCCUUGUGGAAAAUUUUAUUUCUCUAUUAAUUUUAAUAGUUUUGCUGGAUAUUCUUGGUUGAGAGUUUUUGGAGAACAUGAAACAUAUCUUUCCAUGUCCCUUUGAGUUUGAAAUUUCUGUCAGAUAAUCAACCAGAUGUUAUUUUGCCUUUAUAAGUGAUUUGACUUUUUCUUGCAGUUUUCAAUAUUCUUUCUUUAUUCUGCCUUUAAUAUUUUAAUUAUAAUAUGCUAUGGAGAGUUUCUUUUCUUCUCAUAUCUAUUUGGAGUUCUGGAGGUACGAGGAUGGGCAACUGUGUGAACAGUUUUAUAAUGUGAUUUUUCUGAAAAUAGAAUCUGUGCCUUUGAUGUGAUAAUUUUUCUCCUUUCCCAUGCCUAUACUCUGAAAGUUAGGUCUUUUCAUGGUACGCAAGUGUUUUCCUUUCUUCUGUUCGUGGGAGGUACAGACACACACACACACAUAUAUAAUUUCUAGUAUUGUAUCUAGAAAUUGGAUAUAUAUAUACUAUAUAAUCUUAUCACUGAAUUUUAAAGUGGUAAAGUUUCUCUGCAUUGUCUUUCAGCCUUGAUUUCCUUGUGAUCCCUUGUAUUGGUAAGGUCUUGCAUAGAGGGUUUUAUUUGGGUUUUUCACUUUUUGCAUCCUUUCAGUUUAGUUUUUCUUCAAUAAUUCUGUCUUAUUAUAUUUUCAUCUCAUGUAUUAGCUUCCUUAUUUCAUUCAUCUCUCUCUUUUUUUAUCUUUGAGUUUUCUGAAACCAGUUUAGACAGUGUUUUGAAUUUCUUCUUUGGAAGAUCUUCAAAGCCAUUCUCAUUGGGUUCCAUUAUUAUGAGAUUAGUGAUUUUUGGAGGAGACAUGUCUUAGAUUUUUAUAUGGAUUUUUUCUUUGUUUUUGUGACAAUAUUUAUGCAUUCGGAGUUUAUUGAUUAAAUGAGAAUGUGGGCCUGGGGAUGAUUGUCUGGGUAGGACUUGCCAGUCAGUACCAGGAGCUGGAGAAAGUAUGGAAUCAGGGGCAAGAUAUUCGGGGUGCAAGAUCCCUUAUUGGUAAUCCCCAGGGACUCGGACAACAAGGGAAUUCUGGAUGCACUAGUUAGGGCCUAGCUUUCUUUUCUUUCUCAUGCAGGAAGCUGGGCAGAUUGGGAAGUGCAGGUUGAGUGGUUUGGACAUGAUGGGCUCUUACUUCUGUGUGGUGGGAACUAGACAGAUUAUAAUACCUAUGUAUUUUUUAAAAGAUUAUAGAACUAUAUGUGUGUAUAUGUGUACAUAUAACUAUUUGCAUAUGACUGACUAUGCAUAAUAGAGUAAAAAAAAACAUCAGAUACUCUGGAACUGGCAUUACAGGAAGUGUGAGCCACCUACCUGGGUGUUGUGAAUCAAAAUCAGGUUCUCUGCAAGAGUAGUAAAUGCUCUUAACUGAGCCUUCUCUUCAGUCCCUUCCCAGGUAGUUGUACAAUGUGAUGUUUUAUUCAGUUUUCACAUAUUUUAUUGAGAAUUUUUGUGUCUACAUUCAACAGAGAAAUUAGAUGAUGCUCUUUACUGAUUUUUGAAUCAGAGUAACAAUGACAUUAUCUAAAACAUUUAAUGAUCUUUUUCCUUUUUAUUUUAUGAAAUAAUUUGAAGAGCAAAUGCAAAUUUCUGGUAAAGUUCAGCAUUGAAUCACUCUGUCUAUGCAUUCCCUUAACUGUGCAACUUUUUACUGAUGCUUCAGUUUCAUUGUUGUAAAUCUGAGUUGUUUGUGUAUUAUGCUAAGUAUUGAAAUCUAGAAAUUGGUUAGUUUCUUCUAGAUGUUUUUACUUACUAGAAUACAUGGUUUUUUAAAAAAAUACUCUAAAAUAUGUUUAUUGUAACUAAUGAAUAUAAAAAUCUGGUAGAUGUUUUCAAACAUUCUCCAAAGAAAGUAAAACCCUCACCCGUGCCCCACUUUUCAUGAAAUGCAGGAAUAACAACCUGGACAGAGAAGCACACAUAUCUACACACAAGAUUUUCAUUCCAACAAUUGGUCCUAAAAGGCUCCAAUACAUUUCUAAGUAAAGGUCCAUUAAAUUAAGCCACAAGUUGUUCGACACUUUCAUAGUUUAACUUUGUUCCAAUCAGCAUUAUGAUAUUCAUUCAAAAUACUGAGAGACAAGAGGUGAUUGUGAGAGAUAACCAAAACAUGUGACUCUACAAAAUUACAAAUGUUCAUGAGGACUCAGACUGUGGAAUUGAACAUUAACAUAGAAAUGAAUCUGAGAAAAUCUAUGUAUAGUUUAGCCUUAUUAGAAGAACUUAUUUAACUUAUUAAUCAGAAUAAAUUUCUUCAAACACAUUUCUCAUCAAACACAGAUUGUCCACAGCCAAUUUCACAUGAGGCAGUUGGGCUGUUUAGUGACAUUCUAGUGAAAUUCUCACGGCACAGGGAAUCAUCCGUUACCCCACACCAUGAAGCUGGCUCAUCAGCCAUCUAGAUCACCCUUCACUGACCCCACCUACACAUCUGAAUGGACACACACACACACACACACACACACACACACACGGAUCUCUCUGUGAAUGACAUCAACUGUGUAAUGAAGCCAUCCAUCCUAAGGCUGAUGGAACCACACAGUCCAGGGUGAGGGGACCACCUUGCCAAAGGUAUAUGUAAAGGGAGGAUACUGACCAUACUUUUAAUAUAUAAGACAUUUAAAACAAGCAGGAUGUUCCCACACAGAUUGACUAGAAACACUUUUCACCCUAAAGAAGAGACUCAAGUAUUCACAAUUUACAAGAAUUCUGUACAGUACAUGUUUUCAAAGUAUUACCUAGUAAAGCCACUGAAUUUUACAGAUAACUGUUGUAAUGUCCUUGUCAUUAAUUUUAAUAAUUUUGGUAUUCUGUCAUUUUCAUUAGUUCUACAAAGGAUUUGUCUAUUGACUUAGUCAGGGUUUCUAUUCCUGCACAAACAUCAUGACCAAGAAGCAAGUUGGGAGGAAAGGGUUUAUUCAGCUUACAUUUCCACAUUGCUGUUCCUGACCAAGGAAGUCAGGACUGGAACUCAAACAGGUCAGGAAGCAGGAGCUGAUACACAGGCCAUAGAGAGAUGUUAGUUACUGGCUUCCUUCCCCUGGCUUGCUCAGCCUGCUCUCUUAUAGAACCCAAGACUACCAGCCCAGAGAUGGUCCCACCCACAAGGGGCCUCUUCCCCUUGAUCACUAAUUGAGAAAAUGCCCCACAGCUGGACCUCAUGGAGGCAUUUCCCCAACUGAAGCUCGUUUCUGUGAUAACUCCAGCCUGUGUCAAGUUGACACACAAAACCAGCCAGUACAUCUAUCUUUUAUAGUAACCCACUCUGUUUCAUUAAUUACUUCUAAUUGUUCUUUUAGUCAGUUUCCAUUUCAUUAAUUUCUCCUUUAAUCAUUAUUAUUUCUUUCUGUCUACUAAUUUUGUGUUUGGCAUUUUCCCUGUGUUUCUAAGAAUUUGAACUAUAGUCACUAGACUAUAAGUUUUGUCUGAUUUUUUAAAAAUUAUUUAUUUAUUUUUGGUCACUAUUUUUAGAUAUUUUAAUUUAAUCUCUAUGAGUGCUCUAUUUGUAUGAACACCUGAAUGCCAGAAGAGGGAAGCAGAUCACAUUGUAGAUGAUUAUGAGCCCCCAUGGAGUUUCUGGGAAUUGAACUCAGGACCUCGGGAAAGAGCAGUCAGUGCUCUUAAGAGUUCCUCUCUCUGUCUGGAAGCCCCACCUUAUGAUUCUGCCUUUUGCUAUAGGCCAUAGGCCUUUUAUUUUAAGCAAUCAGAACAUGCCUUAUGCAGGUAAGGUGAAUGCUGAGAAGGCAGAUGUAAUUGUUAAAGAGAUGAAUGCCAUGAAAGAGAAAUCUGGUACCUUCCCUUGGAACAGCAGCCACAUGGUCUAAGAAGAGUAACUCGCCAAAGAACUUCUGAUAUUCUGGCUGAUUCUUUCUGCUUCUGUGGACUCAUGCUGACAGAGCCUCACCAUUUCUUCUGAAUCCAUCAACCAAUACUGAUUCUGUUUGGUGUUUUCCAAUUAGACUGGACUGCUGCUACUGGUUUGUGUUUCAUGUUUUGGACUGGACUAUUGAUAUUCUGACAACAAAGAUUGGGAUCUCUCCAAAGAACUACUUCUAAACAGGUCCACAGCUCCUGUUUCCUAUUAACCUUUCCUUCACCCUACCUCUGGUAGGUGGGAUAGAAGGGAACCAUAUAAGAACCCUGAUUAAAAUAAGUUUUGAAAAAUCCAAGCCUACAAGGGUACCUGGUACUUUGUAUGCUAACUCAAAAUUAAAUUAAAAUUUCAAAGAUAAUAUGCCA